Molecule: ribosomal RNA, 442 nt
Filed under: uncultured bacterium
Lineage: Bacteria
Description: partial 16S ribosomal RNA
Rfam family: Bacterial small subunit ribosomal RNA
Source: RNAcentral
CCUACGGGAGGCAGCAGUGGGGAAUAUUGGGCAAUGGACGCAAGUCUGACCCAGCAACGCCGCGUGAAGGAAGAAGGCUUUCGGGUUGUAAACUUCUUUUAAGGGGGAAGAGCAGAAGACGGUACCUCUUGAAUAAGCCACGGCUAACUACGUGCCAGCAGCCGCGGUAAUACGUAGGUGGCAAGCGUUGUCCGGAUUUACUGGGUGUAAAGGGCGUGCAGCCGGGGAGACAAGUCAGAUGUGAAAUCCAGGGGCUCAACCGGUGAACUGCAUUUGAAACUGUUUUCCUUGAGUGUCGGAGAGGUAAUCGGAAUUCCUUGUGUAGCGGUGAAAUGCGUAGAUAUAAGGAAGAACACCAGUGGCGAAGGCGGAUGACUGGACGACAACUGACGGUGAGGCGCGAAAGCGUGGGGAGCAAACAGGAUUAGAUACCCGAGUAGUC